Molecule: ribosomal RNA, 492 nt
Filed under: uncultured Neisseria sp.
Lineage: Bacteria; Pseudomonadati; Pseudomonadota; Betaproteobacteria; Neisseriales; Neisseriaceae
Description: bacterial SSU rRNA
Rfam family: Bacterial small subunit ribosomal RNA
Source: RNAcentral
UUGAACGACUGGCGGCGAUGCUUUACUACAUAGCGAAGUCGGACGGCGAGCACAGAGAAGCUUGCGUUCUUGGGUGGCGAGUGGCGAACGGUGAGUAACAUAUCGGAACGUACCGGGCGAUGGGGGAUAACUAAUCGAAAGAUUAGCUAAUACCGCAUAUUUCUGAGGAGAAAGCAGGGGACCAUUUGGCCUUGCGCUGUUUGAGCGGCCGAUAUCUGAUUAGCUAGUUGUGGGGUAAAGGCCUACCAAGGCGACGAUCAGUAGCGGGUCUGAGAGGAUGAUCCGCCACACUGGGACUGAGACACGGCCCAGACUCCUACGGGAGGCAGCAGUGGGGAAUUUUGGACAAUGGGCGCAAGCCUGAUCCAGCCAUGCCGCGUGUCUGAAGAAGGCCUUCGGGUUGUAAAGGACUUUUGUCAGGGAAGAAAAGGGCGGGGUUAAUACCCCUGUCUGACGACGGUACCUGAAGAAUAAGCACCGGCUAACUACGUG